Molecule: non-coding RNA, 69 nt
Organism: Potamilus streckersoni
Lineage: Eukaryota; Metazoa; Mollusca; Bivalvia; Unionida; Unionidae
Source: the annotation of a GenBank genome assembly
GAUGGCCUAGUGGUUAGAGCGUCCGCCUCGGAUACGGAAGAUCAUGGGGUUAGAAUCCCGGCCAAGUCA